RNAcentral lists this ribosomal RNA (422 nucleotides) under uncultured Parasegetibacter sp. RNAcentral's name for it is "bacterial SSU rRNA". It matches the Rfam family "Bacterial small subunit ribosomal RNA", at positions 355 to 774 of the family's 1533-position model. The record is from RNAcentral. Lineage: Bacteria; Pseudomonadati; Bacteroidota; Chitinophagia; Chitinophagales; Chitinophagaceae.
UAAGGAAUAUUGGGCAAUGGAGGCAACUCUGACCCAGCCAUGCCGCGUGGAGGAUGAAGGUCCUCUGGAUUGUAAACUUCUUUUAUUUGGGAAGAAAUGCCGAUUUUCUAAUUGGUUUGACGGUACCAGAUGAAUAAGCACCGGCUAACUCCGUGCCAGCAGCCGCGGUAAUACGGAGGGUGCAAGCGUUAUCCGGAUUCACUGGGUUUAAAGGGUGCGUAGGCGGGCAUAUAAGUCAGUGGUGAAAUCCCCGAGCUUAACUUGGGAACUGCCGUUGAUACUAUGUGUCUUGAAUAUCGCGGAGGUAAGCGGAAUAUGUCAUGUAGCGGUGAAAUGCAUAGAUAUGACAUAGAACACCGAUUGCGAAGGCAGCUUACUACACGAUCAUUGACGCUGAGGCACGAAAGCGUGGGGAGCAAACA